This 200-nucleotide unclassified non-coding RNA is filed under the name Ciliciopodium sp. RNAcentral's name for it is "partial internal transcribed spacer 2". Lineage: Eukaryota; Fungi; Ascomycota; Sordariomycetes; Hypocreales. The record is from RNAcentral.
UUAAGUUCAGCGGGUAUCCCUACCUGAUCCGAGGUCAACCGUGAGAUGGAGGGUUAUGGCAAGCAAGCGCCAGACCCAAAAGCGAGAAAGUUACUACGCUUAGAGCCAGGCGGCACCGCCACUGAUUUUAAGGGCCGCGGGACCGCGAACCCCAACACCAAGCCAGGCUUGAUUGGUUAUAAUGACGCUCGAACAGGCAU